CUUCAAUCUACUGUCCAACGAUUGAGAUGAAUAGAAGUGAAAACCCUAACAAUGAAGUUUGGCAGGGUAGAAAUGGUGCUCGACAAGAUGAAGCGACGUGUUGAGUAUGCAUGGAAGCAUAUUAGUUAGUAAACUGUUGCCUAUCUACAAU
Long non-coding RNA from Papaver somniferum (opium poppy), 151 nucleotides. RefSeq lists it as uncharacterized. The transcript has 4 exons. The record is from RefSeq and is a predicted model, not a curated record. Lineage: Eukaryota; Viridiplantae; Streptophyta; Magnoliopsida; Ranunculales; Papaveraceae.